This 202-nucleotide unclassified non-coding RNA is filed under the name Hevea brasiliensis (rubber tree). The record is from RNAcentral. Lineage: Eukaryota; Viridiplantae; Streptophyta; Magnoliopsida; Malpighiales; Euphorbiaceae.
UCCAUAUAAACUUGUCAUCAGCAGGCUGUUGCUGGGGCAUUUUCAGGAGAUCACUCUCAUCCUUUGAAGAUUUGGGGUGCCCUAAUCGAAAUCGAACAGAUUUUGCAGAAUAUAUGGGCUUGCCAGGCUGGAAAUAAGCUUCGAAAGGUUGCAUAAAAACUUCCGUGAUCACACAUAAAUCAGCUUUCAAUUUGUAAAUCAG